UACGGGGGGGGCAAGCGUUGUUCGGAAUUACUGGGCGUAAAGGGCUCGUAGGCGGUUUGUCGCGUCGGGAGUGAAAACUCAGGGCUCAACCCUGAGCGUGCUUCCGAUACGGGCAGACUAGAGGUAUGCAGGGGAGAACGGAAUUCCUGGUGUAGCGGUGGAAUGCGCAGAUAUCAGGAGGAACACCGGUGGCGAAGGCGGUUCUCUGGGCAUGACCUGACGCUGAGGAGCGAAAGCAUGGGGAGCGAACAGG
This 253-nucleotide ribosomal RNA is filed under the name uncultured bacterium. RNAcentral describes it as "partial 16S ribosomal RNA". It matches the Rfam family "Bacterial small subunit ribosomal RNA", at positions 524 to 776 of the family's 1533-position model. The record is from RNAcentral.